RNAcentral lists this long non-coding RNA (239 nucleotides) under Gorilla gorilla (western gorilla). RNAcentral's name for it is "long non-coding RNA NONGGOT009341". The record is from RNAcentral. Lineage: Eukaryota; Metazoa; Chordata; Mammalia; Primates; Hominidae.
GGAAGAACUGACAGGAUUUCCUAAGCAUCCGGCCCGGGACACGUGGUCAGGGCAGGGAGAAGGGAGAAAAACAGGGUGUCCACCAGGGUGUGCACCGGGCAGGGUCCAUGGACCAGGUGUGGCAGGAGAAGAGCUGUCAGGACUUGGCAUCUGAUGGGCACUCAGCAGAUACAGGCUGUGUGAGGGGAGGAGUUUGUGGGGAGGCAGGGCUGCAGCUUUGCUCCCAUCCUGGAGGCCAG